UGAGGAGAGGAGUGCCUUUGCCCAUGACCACAGAGUCAGCAUGUUUCAGAGGCAGGAUUUGAACUCAGGUCUUCCUGGGCUCUGUAUUUACAAUGCCACAUUGCUUCUUGAGCCUUUAUUAUUUAUAGCAAGCCAAGAUUAGUCACUGAGGGAGAAGCAAAGUUUUGAUAAAAUAUGCUCUCCUCCAGAUAAUCUAUGAUCUACCUAUAUUGGCCAUCUUCCAUACUCUAUACCACAAUUCUGUUCCUUUUGACUAGCUCACUCCCUCAUCUCAACUCUGCUUCCUGGCUUCUCUGCAUUCCUUUAAGACUCAGCUCAAAUGCCACCUUCCACAAGAAGCCUUUCCUGGAGUCCUCCACCCCACCUGGGAUGCCUUGCCUUUGAGAUUACCUCCCACUUACAUUGUAUAUGUCUUCCAUAUCUAUUUUGGGGCAGCUGGUUGGUGCAGAGGUUAGGGUGCCAGACUUGAAGUAAGGAAGAUUCAUCUUCCUGAGUUCAACGUGCCUCAGAUACUUAGUAGCUGUGUGACCCUAGCAAACAAGAAUUAAUAUGGCCAGCAGACAGUCCCAAAGAGAUCAACCAUGAAACUGGAAGCACAAAGAAGUGUGGCAACCACAAGACCAGUGAAGACGCCAACCAGAAGAAGUAUGAUAUCCAUUGGAAACCUGAGACAUGAAACCUAACAGAAACAAAGCACUCAGGGGAGAAUGGCAUGAUGGCAUCACUAGAAGACAUUAGCUGCACUGCUGCAUCAAAGUAUGAGUUACCCAAACCAAGCAUAUGCCCUGGCCAUGCAAAGGCCAAAAUGUGUGCCUUCUCUGCAUAAUCCCUGAUUGUGUGUUUUCUAUUUAUGCCCUCUCUCAUUUCACAGUACGGUGGUAAUUUGUGGAAGAAUGUAUCUCAUAAGCUUAUGGAGGGGGGAACCUCUUAACAUUUUAUUUGCUAUGCUAUUUGGUUAGAUGUCUUCUAUUUAAACUAAGGUGUUCUCUGGAUGGCUGUUAAUAGUAACCUCAUCAUGUUGGUUUUGCUGAACUGUUAUUUCUCUCUUUUUAUUCUUUUUUAUAAGGGGGUUUUGCUAA
Long non-coding RNA from Phascolarctos cinereus (koala), 1079 nucleotides. RefSeq lists it as uncharacterized. Lineage: Eukaryota; Metazoa; Chordata; Mammalia; Diprotodontia; Phascolarctidae. The record is from RefSeq and is a predicted model, not a curated record.